CGUCUAUAUACGUAUAGCAUAUCAAUAAGCGGAGGAAAAGAAACUAACUAGGAUUCCCUCAGUAACGGCGAGUGAAGCGGGAAGAGCUCAAAUUUGAAAUCUUCAAGGUUCUACCUUGACGAAUUGUAGUUUAAAGAAGUGUUUUCUGUUGGAGUUUUGGUAAAAGUUCUUUGGAAAUAGGACAUCAUAGAGGGUGAGAAUCCCGUAUUUGACCAUUAUUUCCAACUUUGUGAUACACUUUCAAAGAGUCGGAUUGUUUGGGAAUGCAGUCCAAAAUGGGUGGUAAAUUUCAUCUAAAGCUAAAUACUGGCGAGAGACCGAUAGCGAACAAGUACCGUGAGGGAAAGAUGAAAAGAACUUUGAAAAGAGAGUUAAACAGUACGUGAAAUUGUCAAAAGGGAAGCGUUUGACACCAGUGUUGUUUUCUCGAAAAUCAAUUAAAAAUGACCGGAUUUUGUGUUGUAUUGACUUUAUCAGCUUUCUGCACUUUUUUCUUGUCUUUUUUAAUGCACUUUUCGUUUAACAAGUCAACAUCAAUUUCUUUUGUUGUAAAAGAGGUCAUUGGAAGGUGGCUUUCUUUUCGGAGAAAGUGUUUAUAGCCUUUGACUUCUGCAAUCGGAGAGAUUGAGGUCUGCAGCGUAGAUCCUUCGGGGUUAGAUGCAUUUGUGCUAAGUUAUAGCCUUUCAUAGACAACUUGUUGACUAUGAUCAGUCAUGUAGCUUACUCGCUUAUGUCUAUUUUACCUACGCUUAGGAUGUUGACGAUCAGCUGAGCGC
This 776-nucleotide ribosomal RNA is filed under the name uncultured Neocallimastigales. Its description in RNAcentral is "partial large subunit ribosomal RNA". It matches the Rfam family "Eukaryotic large subunit ribosomal RNA", at positions 26 to 628 of the family's 3401-position model. The record is from RNAcentral. Lineage: Eukaryota; Fungi; Neocallimastigomycota; Neocallimastigomycetes; Neocallimastigales.